UAGUUGUGUAGACUCCUCCGGCGUUGACCGAGUCGGCUCUCGAUGCAACGGUCAGCGGCCGGGGCAGCCGUGCCGUCCCAGUGCGCGCGUCGCUGUCGGCGUCCAACGACAGAGCGCGCCUGAUCUGAUCGUGGUGGUGAGGUUAAGUUUAGUUGCACAGGUAGGUGCCGCACCGGACGGGUCGAGCAAGGUGACUAAAAGGUGACUGAGGAUGGAGCUCGUCCAAAUCCUUCCAUUACUUCCGUAUGGAAACUGCAAUUCGAAGUCGUCAAGUCGGAGUCCGCACACCGUGUGACAAAAAGAGCGAUUGAAAUCGGUGCUCGUACGUCUAAGUCCUUCCUUAACUUCCGUAUAGAAAAUUACCGUAGGUGCCAUCAUGGUGAUAUGCAUAGUACGCUUGACUUCUUAAUUACCGCCUUUGCGGAUGGCGGUCGCGAAUUCUCGAUUCGUUUGCUGCCGAUGGAGGGGGUAGGGAGGGGUGGGGGUGGGGGUGGUGGUGGGGCGGCGCGGGUCGGAGGAUAGCCUCUGUUUGACGACGGCACGGUGGCGAUAUUAUUUGAUGUCCUGCGCCGCGGGGAGGGGGUCGGGUCGAAGAAGGUCAUGAAAGAGAUUGCAGAGAGAGAGAAAGGAGGCAGCGGCAGCGCCUCCCACACCCCCCGCCUAGUACCGCCUCGUGCCGCUCCUCCUCCGCCGCUGCGAGCUCAAGUGCGGGUGCACCUAGCAGCGCGAGCAGACGAGGUAGUAGCACGAGUAGAGGGAGGAGCGGCUCGCUACGGAGGUGAUGGAGCCGUUCUGCAAGUUCUCCUUCUUGGUCUUCGGCGAGAUGCUCCGGUAGGAGUUCCAGUUUCUUCUCGACUACGAAGAGCCCAAGUAGAGCGACGACGACUGCCACACGGUCCCCUUCUAGGUCUUGUAGACGUAAGCAGGAUCGACCUGUGAGGUGUACGACGGUACGGUCCCCCUCCUGCUCCAAGCCCGGCCACUCCGCCGCGGCUGUUUCCUCGUAGAACAAUGUCGGGUCUAGUAGCCGUCUUAGCCCUCCGCCGACGAGUCACCGCCGCGCCGCCUUCAGCUGCAGACGGCUAGGUUCCCUUUUCGAGGCAACUACAGGGAACUUCGAUAUGUAGUCAACGUAUAAAAGUAUAAACACGACCGAUAAUGUGUACAACAUAAGUCACAAAACUGCUACGAAAAUCCUCCACGUUUCUAUGUAGUUACCUUUGACACCCUCCUACGUUAAGUCUUUCUGUGGCGUCCUUUGCCCGGGUUCUUCCACUUGUUACAUGUGUUAAAGCUUAAAUAGUCCCUCGUAAAAUUCCCAUAACCGUUUCUAAGAUCUUAUAACUCAACCGACGUAAGAAAAAAGUUCGUCAAGAUACCUAGUCAUUCAUUUUGGCUGAUAUGGUGUUACGCAGAACCAAAAUAGUACUGGGUGACGGCACCUUUGAACUUUAAGCUAAAGGUAUUUAUGUACGACGCCCAAAAUCUCAGACUAAAAUUCUUCCACCAACCGUAUUCGACCAUGAACACCCAGAAGCACCACUAGAAAGACAACGACUUACAAUUACCCACCGUGUGCAUGAAAACCUAACGUAAGUAAGGGGAAUAAGAAGACGAUCGGCACCCGUGGUUCAACCUCGUGCAGUAUCGAGUCAAUCGAGUCCUACAUCGACUCUUCGUGAGGCGUCAGCUCCCGCUAAACUAGCACUUCGGUAGCCUACUGGUGAAGACCAAGCCCGCCGGCUCCUAGUAGGACAAGGACUAGGUGAAGUAGGAGAAGGUCUUGCGGAAACUCUAACGUAAGAAGAAGACCUAUGACUGGUGGAUACCCAAGUUGAGGACGUAGUACCCCGUUCAACCGAAGUAACACGGCUCCGAACAAUAACCCGAGUAAUAAGUCGAAGAGACGUCGAUGUCGUGGGACGGAGACAUACGUUAACAUUGUGUCUACCCUUCGAAGAUGUUCUUCCUCUAGAAGUUACUCGUACACGUCGUCCCACAGGACCCAACCCGAGUCUUCCGAUUCUACUUCUUUCCCAAGUUCUUCUCGUUACCGCGCCGGGUUAGCUGCUCGGGGCAGCUAAGACACCCCGGAAGAUGAUUCCAACUUUACCACUCUGCUGGCCGCGCCCUUCCGUUGCUACGACCACUUUCGUAUCUUACUACAUCAUACCCAUCACUCAUCACAACAGAUCUCGUUACCGCAGAUACUACAGAUAAAACCGCAACGUUACUUUCGUGAAGUCGUACACGAUGGUAAUACGUCUUCAAGAACGUCGGCAUUUUGUAACACCACCGUUCCCCAUUUUUCUUUAACCCAGGUCUAUCUUUAUCAAAUAGAGAGUGUCGC
This 2350-nucleotide ribosomal RNA is filed under the name Triticum aestivum (bread wheat). Its description in RNAcentral is "partial small subunit ribosomal RNA". The record is from RNAcentral. Lineage: Eukaryota; Viridiplantae; Streptophyta; Magnoliopsida; Poales; Poaceae.